Molecule: ribosomal RNA, 1707 nt
Filed under: Triticum aestivum (bread wheat)
Lineage: Eukaryota; Viridiplantae; Streptophyta; Magnoliopsida; Poales; Poaceae
Description: partial small subunit ribosomal RNA
Source: RNAcentral
AUGGCGGAGACUGUGAUUCUUCUAGCCAUUCAAAAGAUUGGAAUUGCCUUAGCAAAUGGAGCGGCAAACCAGGCCAGUGCACUGUUUGUGAAGUACGGCACGCAACUACUAAAAUUACAGCGCGGCAUGGAUCGUGUUGUGAGGGAGCUUCGUUUAAUGCAUGAAUUUCUGUGUCAAAUGGACAUUCGAAACCGCAAGAAACAAGCAUAUGAGAUCUGGUUGGGGGAGGUACGGAAAGUAGCACAUCUGAUGGAGGACAUGGUGGAUGAGUACUUGUAUCUAGUUGGUCAGGAACAUGAUGUUGGCUUUUUCUUUUUCCUGAAGAAUGGGUUCAAAAAGCCAAGAUCUCUACUUUCUUUGAACCAGAUAGCUUUUAAGGUGAAGGAAAUAGAGAAAGACCUUUCACACCUGUCAGAGACAAAAACCCGUUGGGUUCUCGUGAACAAUGAGGAUACUAGCAGCUCGGACUACAUUGUUAAGAGGUCCCAAGAGCUAGCAAACAUUUCACGUUGCCUUGAGGAGGAAGAUCUAGUGGGGGUCGACAAGAAAAGAGAAUUACUUCAGCAGUGGUUGGCAGGUGAUCAAUUGGAACGCUCUGUGAUAGCACUGCUUGGAAUGGGAGGGCUUGGUAAAACAGCUUUAGCUGCAAAUGUCUACAGGAAUGUGAGGGAGAAAUUUCAGUGCCAUGCAUGGGUCUCCAUCUCUCAAACUUAUUCUAGAGAAGAUGUCUUGAGGAAUAUAAUCAAGGAACUUUCUAGAGAUAAAGACAGUGUUCUAUCUAACACUGCGGGUAUGGACAUCACAUGCCUUCAAGAGACGCUAAAGAAGUUUCUGGAGCAACACAAGUAUUUGAUCAUUUUGGAUGAUGUUUGGACUCCAGAAGUAUUUAAUGAUUUGUCUAGGAUAUGUAUUCAUAAUGAGAAGGGCAGCCGGCUGCUAAUCACAACAAGGGUAAGCCGUGUUGCUGCGCUUGCCUCUCAAGGGUGCAUCUUAACACUCGAAGCUUUACCCGAAGACAAGGCACGGGAUCUCUUUUGUAAGAAAGCCUUUCCAAGAGAUACGAAUUAUGAAUGUCCAGUGAAGUUGAAGCCUUUGUCUAAUGAAAUAUCUAGCAAGUGCAAAGGAUUGCCUCUUGUUAUUGUGCUAGUUGGUGGCCUCUUCCUUGUGCAUGAGAAAACUGUGGAAGAAUGGAGAAGAAUAAAUGCCCAAUUAAAUUGGGAGCUGAUUAAUAAUCCGGGGUUCGAUCAUAUCAGGAAUGUUUUUCAUCUCAGCUUUAUCUAUCUUCCAACACAUUUGAAAAGUUGUGUCCUGUACUGCAGCUUAUUUCCAGAAGACUAUAUUUUCAAAAGGAAACAACUUGUACGGUUAUGGAUCGCAGAGGGGUUCGUCGAGGAGAGAGGUGAAUGCACAUUAGAAGAAGUGGCGGAGGGAUAUCUAAAGGAGUUGACUGACAGAAACAUGCUACAACUUGUUAAGAGGAACACUUUUGGUAGGGUGAAGAGAUUUAGAAUGCACGACAUCAUUCGUGAUUUGGCAGCUGAUUUGUGCAAGAAGAACUGUUUUGGUGUUACAUAUGACGAUAAUUGUGGGUUGUCUAUUGAGACAAAUGUGCGUCGAUUGGUACUACGCAAACCAAAGAAGGAUAAUCAUCAGCCUUCGGGAGUCAAGAUAUAUGACAGUGCUAGAACUAAGUGGUCUGCCCAUUGA